This 150-nucleotide ribosomal RNA is filed under the name Pseudomonas putida. RNAcentral describes it as "partial 16S ribosomal RNA". It matches the Rfam family "Bacterial small subunit ribosomal RNA", at positions 312 to 465 of the family's 1533-position model. Lineage: Bacteria; Pseudomonadati; Pseudomonadota; Gammaproteobacteria; Pseudomonadales; Pseudomonadaceae. The record is from RNAcentral.
CGGGGCAUGAACGGUCAGACUCCUACGGGAGGCAGCAGUGGGGAAUAUUGGACAAUGGGCGAAAGCCUGAUCCCGCCAUGCCGCGUGUGUGAAGAAGGUCUUCGGAUUGUAAAGCACUUUAAGUUGGGAGGAAGGGCAGUAAGUGAAUAC